UACGUAGGGUGCGAGCGUUAAUCGGAAUUACUGGGCGUAAAGCGUGCGCAGGCGGUUCGUCGUGUCCGAUGUGAAAGCCCCGGGCUCAACCUGGGAAUGGCAUUGGAAACUGGCGGACUCGAGUGUGGCAGAGGGGGGUGGAAUUCCGCGUGUAGCAGUGAAAUGCGUAGAGAUGCGGAGGAACACCGAUGGCGAAGGCAGCCCCCUGGGCUAACACUGACGCU
This 224-nucleotide ribosomal RNA is filed under the name uncultured bacterium. RNAcentral's name for it is "partial 16S ribosomal RNA". It matches the Rfam family "Bacterial small subunit ribosomal RNA", at positions 524 to 747 of the family's 1533-position model. The record is from RNAcentral.